CCAUUUCCACAUUGUACUGAAACUCUCGGCACUGGAAAUUGUCUCAUCAGAAGGAACAUACUGGAACGCUUACCCUAUUGUGGAGAUAAGAAUGAAUAAAUAAAGUACCACACUACUGAGAGAAGGAAAAAAAGCAAAGAAGCCAUAAUUAUGAAGGCGGCUAUUUGUAUUCAGGAUGUCCCAUGAUGACAGUAGUCCUGAAGGAAAGAUGCAUUCCUGGUUGUCUGCAGUUGUGGUCUGCUCAUCUUGCACGCUCUAGGCAGUCUCUCUUCAACAUACCUGAACCGCCCGCUGCCCAAAUAUAGCAUCACAGUGAAGUAUCAAAGCAGCAAUGAAAUGGAUCAAAGGUGACAGGCUGUAUA
Long non-coding RNA from Physeter macrocephalus (sperm whale), 362 nucleotides. RefSeq lists it as uncharacterized. Lineage: Eukaryota; Metazoa; Chordata; Mammalia; Artiodactyla; Physeteridae. The transcript is spliced from 4 exons. The record is from RefSeq and is a predicted model, not a curated record.